CCUACGGGAGGCAGCAGUGGGGAAUAUUGGGCAAUGGGCGAAAGCCUGACCCAGCAACGCCGCGUGAAGGAAGAAGGCUCUCGGGUUGUAAACUCCUUUUGACAGGGAAGAGCAGAAGACGGAUCCUGUCGAAUAAGCCACGGCUAACUACGUGCCAGCAGCCGCGGUAAUACGUAGGUGGCAAGCGUUGUCCGGAUGUACUGGGUGUAAAGGGCGUGUAGCCGGGCUGACAAGUAAGUUGUGAAAUCCGGGGGCUCAACCCCCGAACUGCAUGUGAAAAUGUUGGUCGUGAGUAUCGGAGCGGCAGGCGGAAUUCCUAGUGUAGCGGUGAAAUGCGUAGAUAUUAGGAGGAACACCAGUGGCGAAGGCGGCCUGCUGGACGACAACUGACGGUGAGGCGCGAAAGCGUGGGGAGCAAACAGGAUUAGAUACCCUGGUAGUC
Molecule: ribosomal RNA, 442 nt
Filed under: uncultured bacterium
Lineage: Bacteria
Description: partial 16S ribosomal RNA
Rfam family: Bacterial small subunit ribosomal RNA
Source: RNAcentral